CCUACGGGUGGCAGCAGUGGGGAAUAUUGGGCAAUGGGCGCAAGCCUGACCCAGCAACGCCGCGUGAAGGAAGAAGGCUUUCGGGUUGUAAACUUCUUUUGACAGGGAAGAGUAGAAGACGGUACCUGUCGAAUAAGCCACGGCUAACUACGUGCUUGCAGCCGCGGUAAUACGUAGGUGGCAAGCGUUGUCCGGAUUUACUGGGUGUAAAGGGCGUGUAGCCGGGUUGACAAGUCAGAUGUGAAAUCCUGGGGCUUAACCGCAGAGCUGAAUUUGAAUCUGUAACUCUUGAGUACUGGAGAGGAAGACGGAAUUCCUAGUGUAGCGGUGAAAUGAGUAGAGAUGAGGAGGAACACCAGAGGCGAAGGCGGUCUGCUGGACAGCAACUGACGGUGAGGCGCGAAAGCGUGGGGAGCAAACAGGAGUAGAUACCCCGGUAGUC
RNAcentral lists this ribosomal RNA (442 nucleotides) under uncultured bacterium. RNAcentral describes it as "partial 16S ribosomal RNA". It matches the Rfam family "Bacterial small subunit ribosomal RNA", at positions 338 to 795 of the family's 1533-position model. The record is from RNAcentral.